UGGGGGAUUUUGCACAAUGGGCGCAAGCCUGAUGCAGCGACGCCGCGUGAGGGAUGAAGGCCUUCGGGUUGUAAACCUCUUUCGCUGGGUUGAAAGGCCAUGCUUUGGGUGUGGUUGAUUUGAACUGGUAAAGAAGCGCCGGCUAACUACGUGCCAGCAGCCGCGGUAAUACGUAGGGCGCGAGCGUUGUCCGGAUUUAUUGGGCGUAAAGAGCUCGUAGGUGGUUCGUCGCGUCUGUCGUGAAAGCCAGCAGCUUAACUGUUGGUCUGCGGUGGGUACGGGCGGGCUUGAGUGCGGUAGGGGUGACUGGAAUUCCUGGUGUAGCGGUGGAAUGCGCAGAUAUCAGGAGGAACACCGAUGGCGAAGGCAGGUCACUGGGCCGUUACUGACACUGAGGAGCGAAAGCGUGGGGAGCGAACAGG
RNAcentral lists this ribosomal RNA (422 nucleotides) under Fusobacteriota bacterium. RNAcentral describes it as "Fusobacteria bacterium partial 16S ribosomal RNA". It matches the Rfam family "Bacterial small subunit ribosomal RNA", at positions 355 to 776 of the family's 1533-position model. The record is from RNAcentral. Lineage: Bacteria; Fusobacteriati; Fusobacteriota.